CACGCGGUAAACGAUGAGUGCUAGGUGUAGCGGGUAUCGACCCCUGCUGUGCCGGAGUUAACACAAUAAGCACUCCGCCUGGGGAGUACGGCCGCAAGGUUGAAACUCAAAGGAAUUGACGGGGGCCCGCACAAGCAGCGGAGCAUGUGGUUUAAUUCGAAGCAACGCGAAGAACCUUACCAGGUCUUGACAUCGAGGCAAAGCCGUAGAGAUACGGUGUUCAGCAAUGAAGCCGAAGACAGGUGG
This 246-nucleotide ribosomal RNA is filed under the name uncultured Bacillota bacterium. RNAcentral describes it as "uncultured Firmicutes bacterium partial 16S ribosomal RNA". It matches the Rfam family "Bacterial small subunit ribosomal RNA", at positions 796 to 1041 of the family's 1533-position model. The record is from RNAcentral. Lineage: Bacteria; Bacillati; Bacillota.